RNAcentral lists this long non-coding RNA (325 nucleotides) under Callithrix jacchus (white-tufted-ear marmoset). RNAcentral describes it as "lncRNA (ENSCJAG00000078364.1)". Lineage: Eukaryota; Metazoa; Chordata; Mammalia; Primates; Cebidae. The record is from RNAcentral.
AGCGUGAGUCAGCUGGGCAGGGCUGCCUGCAACACUUCCUCAGCUCAUCCCAAACACCCCACUAUGGAGGGAACUGAACUGCUGAGGCAGAUAAUCCCAGAAGAAUCUCAUGUGGCCAUCCUAACCAGAAACAUACGAGAAAGAGAAUUCUGGGAACUGUAGUUUAAUCCAAAGUGAUGUAAUGCAAAGUGACCACGAUCAGCAUCUUUUCCAUUUGGCAUACAUCCACAUUUCAUGAAAAAACACUUAACCUCCAAAUAAAGGUAAUAACAAAGUCAGGCCUCUGCCUACCAAAUAGACAAUAUCUUGAGGACAAUCAAAAGCA